CGUGUAGGCGGUUUUGUAAGUCUGAUGUGAAAGCCCCGGGCUCAACCUGGGAAGUGCAUUGGAAACUGCAAGACUUGAGUACGGGAGAGGGCAGUGGAAUUCCUAGUGUAGGAGUGAAAUCCGUAGAUAUUAGGAGGAACACCGGUGGCGAAGGCGGCUGCCUGGACCGAUACUGACGCUGAGACGCGAAAGCGUGGGGAGCAAACA
This 207-nucleotide ribosomal RNA is filed under the name uncultured delta proteobacterium. RNAcentral's name for it is "partial 16S ribosomal RNA". It matches the Rfam family "Bacterial small subunit ribosomal RNA", at positions 568 to 774 of the family's 1533-position model. The record is from RNAcentral. Lineage: Bacteria; Deltaproteobacteria.